This 1110-nucleotide long non-coding RNA is filed under the name Setaria viridis. RNAcentral describes it as "long non-coding RNA (SVIR_LNC009519)". The record is from RNAcentral. Lineage: Eukaryota; Viridiplantae; Streptophyta; Magnoliopsida; Poales; Poaceae.
CAUGUUUUACUCCUCGGGUGUAUUUGAUAGUGAUUAUGUACACAUAUACUAGGUUUGUUAUUACUAACUUCCAAAAAGAGAAAUGUUACCAUCCUAGGGUUGAUCAAUCUUAGAUCGGAAAGUUAUCCUAUUUCUGAAUAUUUUUCUAGACCUCUUUUAGUAUUUACCAUGUUACCCUUACUAUUACUUAAUUUGUUUUCAUUCAUCUCUUCUGGGUUUAACUUGCAUAAUUUGUUUCUGCAUGCAAAUAGUGAGAUAUGGCACUGAAAAUUAAACAGGAACUUAACCGUAUCAAAGAUAAGCUACUGUAAAAUGUUGAGGCUCGGUAGACUUCUACAAAAACAAUUAAAAUUAACUUAAGAUCCUAUGGUUGUUUGCACUUAACUAUUUUUAUCUCCAGUCUCACAGAGAUUUUGGCUCUGAUGUUUUUUUAACAGUAAGUUAUACAAGUGCAACACGAGUUCCAGUGAAUUUUCUAUGAUUUUUGGUGAAGGACAUCUAUUUUACAUAAUAUUUUAUCAUUUAAUCUUGUACAAAAAUAUAAGCAUGUUUCACCAAGUUUCAUCCAGUGAACAAUAUUUUUCCUAGCAAGUAUGUUUCACAAGUGAUCUAAGCAAGGUGGUUUCAUAUUUUUCUCUGACAGAUUCUAUUUAUUAUGCAAAAAGCAAGAUUUCACCCUAGAUUUCAAAGUUAAAUCUAAAAUAGUGUGUAAAACAUCUAAACAAGGGUCACAACUAUUUUUAUAAGCACAAGUUCAAAGUAACAAAGCCAAUAGAGGUGGUUUCGCUAUUUUACCAUUUUUGUGUGAUUUACCAAGCAUUUAAAAGCUUAAACACUAAUUAAAAUCCAGUUCUAAAUAAAGAUCAGAAACAUGCAUAUGAGUAUAUUUAAAAGAAACUAGACAUCACCAGAAACCUAUCAAACCAAGAAUCACAUUUUUCCCCUUUUUCUACAUUUUUCUAUGCCUUUUCAAAGUUCUCAGCUUUUAGAUCUAGGAAAAAUAAACAAAACCGAGGUCAACUUGCAAACUAGCCCCCAGGUCUACGGUUUAAUCAUGCAAAGGUUCCUGGAUUUUCCCAUACCCCUCUAUCCUUUCUUCUUCUUCUCCAC